Molecule: ribosomal RNA, 433 nt
Filed under: uncultured bacterium
Lineage: Bacteria
Description: partial 16S ribosomal RNA
Rfam family: Bacterial small subunit ribosomal RNA
Source: RNAcentral
AACGAACGCUGGCGGCAUGCCUAACACAUGCAAGUCGAACGAGACCUUCGGGUCUAGUGGCGCACGGGUGCGUAACGCGUGGGAACCUGCCCUUAGGUUCGGAAUAACUCCCCGAAAGGGGUGCUAAUACCGGAUAAUGUCUUCGGACCAAAGAUUUAUCGCCUUUGGAUGGGCCCGCGUUGGAUUAGCUAGUUGGUAGGGUAAAAGCCUACCAAGGCGACGAUCCAUAGCUGGUCUGAGAGGAUGAUCAGCCACACUGGGACUGAGACACGGCCCAGAAUCCUACGGGAGGCAGCAGUGGGGAAUAUUGGACAAUGGGCGAAAGCCUGAUCCAGCAAUGCCGCGUGAGUGAUGAAGGCCUUAGGGUUGUAAAGCUCUUUUACCCGGGAUGAUAAUGACAGUACCGGGAGAAUAAGCUCCGGCUAACUACGUG